AUUCAUUCCCUCCUGCUCCCAUGUCUCAGCCCUCCUAUGAUCCAACCCCCUUCGUUAACCAUCCUCCUGACAUGCCUGUCGAAACCCCUCCGCUUUCAUGUCCUUCGCUGCCUCCCCAAGUGACCGUCCCCACUCUGGACCUUACCAUGGCUUCCCUCACCUCACCCAUUGAAGUCCCACCACCCCCCUCCGCUUCUCUCUCAACCCCGAGUACCCCUUCCUUGAUAGCCUCCGUUCCUUCACCCUCUCCAUCCAUCACACAUCCAACUCCCUUACCCCG
Pelobates cultripes (western spadefoot toad) is the source of this 280-nucleotide non-coding RNA. Lineage: Eukaryota; Metazoa; Chordata; Amphibia; Anura; Pelobatidae. The record is from the annotation of a GenBank genome assembly.